CUACGGGUGGCAGCAGUGAGGAAUAUUGCGCAAUGGGGGAAACCCUGACGCAGCGACGCCGCGUGAGUGAGGAAGGCCCUCGGGUCGUAAAGCUCUGUCAAGAGGAAAGAAGUGCAUAGUAGUUAAUACCUGCUAUGUUUGACGGUACCUCUAAAGGAAGCACCGGCUAACUCCGUGCCAGCAGCCGCGGUAAUACGGAGGGUGCAAGCGUUGUUCGGAAUCACUGGGCGUAAAGGGCGCGCAGGCGGCCUGGUAAGUCAGAUGUGAAAGCCCACGGCUUAACCGUGGAAGUGCAUUUGAAACUGUCAGGCUUGAGUACCAGAGGGGAAAGUGGAAUUCCCGGUGUAGAGGUGAAAUUCGUAGAUAUCGGGAGGAAUACCGGUGGCGAAGGCGACUUUCUGGCUGAGUACUGACGCUGAGGCGCGAAAGCGUGGGGAGCAAACAGGAUUAGAUACCCGGGUAGUC
Molecule: ribosomal RNA, 465 nt
Filed under: uncultured bacterium
Lineage: Bacteria
Description: partial 16S ribosomal RNA
Rfam family: Bacterial small subunit ribosomal RNA
Source: RNAcentral